AAUAAUGAAAUUAUAGAAAAUUAAAUUAUAGAAAAUUAAUCGCAAGAGCACUCCUACACUGUGCCUUUUUCCAGAUUAAAUUUCUAUGGUAGAUUGAAAAGGCAAAUCAAAACAGAUGAGAAUUAACAGCGCCUAACCGAAUAAUGUUUUAUAUAAUAGAAUACUAAAUCGCGGAGCCACCGCUGGCAGAACGAAACAACUACUGGCCUUGGUUUAUCAGGUGUAGUAUUUGGCUUUCGCGGCCCCAUACGGUAAAAAAUUGAAAUUAAACGGAACCCGACGCUAAUACGCGCUACCUUGUCUGCAGCGCCAUCUACUAGUGAUCGUGCUGGAAUG
Long non-coding RNA from Anthonomus grandis grandis, 336 nucleotides. RefSeq lists it as uncharacterized. The transcript has 3 exons. Lineage: Eukaryota; Metazoa; Arthropoda; Insecta; Coleoptera; Curculionidae. The record is from RefSeq and is a predicted model, not a curated record.